UCGAACGCUGAAGCCUGGUGCUUGCACCGGGUGGAUGAGUGGCGAACGGGUGAGUAACACGUGAGUAACCUGCCCCUGACUUCGGGAUAAGCCCGGGAAACUGGGUCUAAUACCGGAUACGACCGCCGGACGCAUGUCUGGUGGUGGAAAGUUUUUUCGGUUGGGGAUGGGCUCGCGGCCUAUCAGUUUGUUGGUGAGGUAAUGGCUCACCAAGACGACGACGGGUAGCCGGCCUGAGAGGGCGACCGGCCACACUGGGACUGAGACACGGCCCAGACUCCUACGGGAGGCAGCAGUGGGGAAUAUUGCACAAUGGGGGAAACCCUGAUGCAGCGACGCAGCGUGCGGGAUGACGGCCUUCGGGUUGUAAACCGCUUUCAGCAGGGAAGAAGCGCAAGUGACGGUACCUGCAGAAGAAGUACCGGCUAACUACGUGCCAGCAGCCGCGGUAAUACGUAGGGUACGAGCGUUGUCCGGAAUUAUUGGGCGUAAAGAGCUCGUAGGUGGUUGGUCACGUCUGCUGUGGAAACGCAACGCUUAACGUUGCGCGUGCAGUGGGUACGGGCUGACUAGAGUGCAGUAGGGGAGUCUGGAAUUCCUGGUGUAGCGGUGAAAUGCGCAGAUAUCAGGAGGAACACCGGUGGCGAAGGCGGGACUCUGGGCUGUAACUGACACUGAGGAGCGAAAGCAUGGGGAGCGAACAGGAUUAGAUACCCUGGUAGUCCAUGCCGUAAACGUUGGGCACUAGGUGUGGGGGGCAUUCCACGUUCUCCGCGCCGUAGCUAACGCAUUAAGUGCCCCGCCUGGGGGAGUACGGUCGCAAGGCUAAAACUCAGA
RNAcentral lists this ribosomal RNA (837 nucleotides) under Brevibacterium sp. LCK-2009.11. RNAcentral's name for it is "bacterial SSU rRNA". It matches the Rfam family "Bacterial small subunit ribosomal RNA", at positions 62 to 905 of the family's 1533-position model. The record is from RNAcentral. Lineage: Bacteria; Bacillati; Actinomycetota; Actinomycetes; Micrococcales; Brevibacteriaceae.